UCGCACCCACUCCUAUCUUCUAAAAACCUCCCGAACCCCUCUCACAACUUCUCAUCUCUCGCCUUCUCCAUCCAACUCCUCCUCUCACGCCCUCUCCGUCCAACUUCUCUCCGGCAAACCCCUCUCCGGCGAACCCCUCUCUGUGAACCUCCCCUCUGAACUCCUCUCCGUCAAGACCGUGGGCAAAAUUUCCUCACCUUAUUCCUUCACCUCUUCGUCAAAUAGCAAAUGCCCUAAUCGUCCCAUUUUCUUUCUUAAACCCAGACACAUUAAAAUCGCGACGGGCGACGACAGCAGAAGAGAGAUGAUUCCCAUCCUCUCCUCUCUCUUCCGAUUGCAUUCUCUGGUUUAAUUUGUCUCUCUCGUUCCGCAAAUCGAUUGCCAGAUUUUUGUUUUAUUUUUUCCUUUGGGUCUUUGAUUCUGAGUUAGGGUUUCCUACUCCUGCUAAGAUUUGUUGUCUAUGGGGGCUUCCAGUGGCGUUCUGACAACCCUUGCAGGGACGGGGCCUUUCCUUCGAAGCAGCUCUUCCACCAGGUCAUUCUCCUUUCCGAGGAGUUUUGGUGCCUUUUAUCGCGUUGGCACGAGAGGACCUUGGCAGAAGAUGGCUCUCCGGAUGAGCCCGCGUUCCGAUGCCUUGGUAGAUCUCAUGGAGAAGCAAUCCGCGGGAGCUAGUGCCUCGGCGCUCAAACAGUUCAAGAUCUCCGCCGAUCGUAAGUAGCAAUUCACUUCCCUUUGUCCUUUUUUAUUCCCCCCAUUUUCCACGUUAGAAAUCUAUGACUUAAUUCUUCGAAUGAAGAUCUUUCUGUCAAAGCUAGAAGUUUACUAGUAGGAAAACAUUCUUUUGCCCCUUUUGCCGUGGGUUGAACUUUAUGCUGCUAGAUGUGUGCAAUCUGGGUUUAUCAAUUUUGGUAGUUGAGGAGUUUAGUCUGUUUGGAUUUGUGAGAUUAACAAAUUUGUUUAAAACCAAAAGUAAUACUUCUGAAGUUCCUAGUUUAGUCGCGAUUCCUAUCUACAUUAACCCUAUUCAGGAGUUAAAAUAGGGAUUUUGAUGUUGAACUAUUUUCAGUUCUUUGUCUUCCUUUCUUAAGUUUAGUCUUCCCUACUUUCUAGAAAUGCUGUCUGCUCUAAUAGCCAUGUCUAGGGUUUUAGGAACUUGCAGGGUGCUCAUGGUGGCGGCCAAGGGUGGGUCCAAGGAAGCAUCAGUGAAGGCGGUGGCCAAGGGGGCGAUGAAGCCCAAGGGGGCCUUUCAUCAGAAGCUGCCUUUGUCUCCAGCGAUGAGCAAAUUCCUCGGCAUCCCAGAAAUCGCACUGGUGGAUGCCGUCAAAAAAUCUGGGAGCACAUCAAAGCAAACCAACUCCAGGCUUCAUCAGAUGAUAAUGCUGGAUUCAUGAUUGAUAUGUUAAAGGAGUGUGGAUUAUCUCACAAAUCAAUAAUUUUUAUCUUGGAUGAGUUUGAUCUUUUUGCUCAGGGGAAACAACGUUUACUUUAUAGUUUGCUUGAUGCAAUGCAAACAAUGACUUCAUGUCUAGUAGAAGUUCCGAUUCUUAGCGCCCCUCUUGUUAGUUCAUGGGCAUUGGAAUUACCAGAGGAUGGCCUACAUGAUCUUGUACAACUUUUAUCGUAAUGCUAUUUUUGUCUUCAUCCUAUUCUGGUAUGUGUUUAUGAACAAUGUUGCAUGGAAUUAUCAAACUUUCAAUUUACCUUUCUUAUGGUUGCAUGGAAUUUACAAAUCUACUAUCUUUAAGAAUGGAUGUGCAUUAUCUCACUAAUAUUAUCUUUAACAUGUUAAUCUAACCUUCCCUGCUUAUCAAUAUGGGCUGCAUUGCUGCAACACUAUUAUGUGAGAUUAUCAUCAACUCCGUGUGGUUUCUACCAGGUUACUGGGUCGUCUUUAACGUAAUGAGGACUGGACUAUUUUGGCUAUGCUUACUAGGUGUCCUUGUGGCUGGGAUGCUUCCCCAUUUCGUAAUGAAGGCACUGAUCCAGCAUUUCAUGCCUACUGACAUACAGAUUGCUAGAGAGUUGGAGAAUGCUUACUAGGUGUCCUUUCUUCCAAGCAUUGCUGGUUAUACCUGAUAAAGCCUCAUGUCUUUCAGGAUGCAGACUAACUUCUCGAAAAAAGAGUUCAGUGUAGGUUUUGUCCCAGUCUCAAGCCGACAAUCCUUUUUGAUCAGUAUAUCUAGUAGAAGUAAGCAUGCAGAUCGUUGUCUUCGAGGCCGAUUAGCUAUUUUGUGUUUUUUUUUGUUUUAAAUUCGAAUGUCACUAUCUACUUUGAAACAGAACUAUUUAGUCUUUGUGUAUAGUUGAAUUCUCUUGUAAAUACUAAUACUUUGUAAUUGAA
RNA transcript from Zingiber officinale, 2341 nucleotides. RefSeq lists it as uncharacterized. The record is from RefSeq and is a predicted model, not a curated record. NCBI's taxonomy places the organism in Eukaryota, Viridiplantae, Streptophyta, Magnoliopsida, Zingiberales, Zingiberaceae. The transcript is spliced from 5 exons.